AUGCAAGUCGAGCGAUAUUUUAGGUAGAGAGGUUGAAGCCGUAAGGUGGAUGCCAAUUUGCUUAAUUUAUAGCGGCAGACGGGUGAGUAACGCGUGAGUAAUCUAACUUUAAGACUGGUAUAGCCUCAAGAAAUUGAGAGUAAUUCCGGUUGUGACCCCGGUAUCGCAUGGUAUCAGGGUGAAAGGUGGGGAUCGUAAGACCUACCGCUUGAAGAGGAGCUCGCGCCCUAUCAGCUAGUUGGUGAGGUAACGGCCCACCAAGGCUUUUGACGGGUAGCUGGUCUGAGAGGAUGGUCAGCCACAUUGGGACUGAGACACUGCCCAGACUCCUACGGGAGGCUGCAGUCGAGAAUCUUUAGCAAUGGACGAAAGUCUGACUAUGCGACGCCGCGUGAGGGAUGAAGAUCUUCGGGUUGUAAACCUCUUUCGACAGGGAAGAAAAUACGUUAUUUAAUAGAUAACGGACUGACGGUACCUGGAGAAGAAGCCACGGCCAACUCCGUGCCAGCAGCCGCGGUAAUACGGAGGUGGCGAGCGUUACUCGGAUUCAUUGGGUGUAAAGGGCAGGUAGGCGGUUUCGAAAGUCGAAUGUGAAAUCUUCUCGCUUAACGGGAAAACUGCAUUCGAAACUUCGAGGCUUGAGGCUGGAAGAGGAGAAUGGAAUUCCCGGUGUAAGGGUGAAAUCUGUAGAUAUCGGGAGGAACACCAGUAGCGAAAGCGAUUCUCUGGUCCAGUUCUGACGUUGAACUGCGAAAGCUAGGGGAGCAAACAGGAUUAGAUACCCUGGUAGUCCUAGCCGUAAACGAUGAGCACUAGGUGUUGGUUCUUUAGGGAUCAGCGCCGCAGCUAACGCAUUAAGUGCUCCACCUGGGGACUACGACCGCAAGGUUAAAACUCAAAGGAAUUGACGGGGGCCCGCACAAGCGGUGGAACAUGUGGUUUAAUUCGACGCUACGCGAGGAACCUCACCAGGGCUUGACAUGUAGGAAGUAGUGAACCGAAAGGGGAACAACCUGUCAAGUCAGGAGCCUGCACAGGUGCUGCAUGGCUGUCGUCAGCUCGUGCCGUGAGGUGUUAGGUUAAGUCCUUCAACGAGCGCAACCAUUAUUUUUAGUUGCCACUUUUUGAUGCCGUAAGGUGUCAGAGAAGCACUCUAAAGAGACUGCCUGCGAUAAGCAGGAGGAAGGUGGAGAUGACGUCAAGUCAGUACGGCCUUUAUGCCCUGGGCUACACACGUGUUACAAUGGUCAGGACAGAGGGUUGCCAACCCGCGAGGGGGAGCCAAUCCCAGAAAACUGACCUCAGUUCAGAUUGAAGUCUGCAAUUCGACUUCAUGAAGCCGGAAUCGCUAGUAAUGGCGGAUCAGCUACGCCGCCGUGAAUACGUUCCCGGGCCUUGUACACACCGCCCGUCAAGCGAUGGAAGCUGGGAGUACCCGAAGUCCUAUGUAGAUAGGCCGAAGGUAAAACUGGUGACUGGCGCUAAGUCGUAACAAGGUA
This 1499-nucleotide ribosomal RNA is filed under the name metagenome. RNAcentral's name for it is "bacterial SSU rRNA". It matches the Rfam family "Bacterial small subunit ribosomal RNA". The record is from RNAcentral.